RNAcentral lists this ribosomal RNA (468 nucleotides) under uncultured bacterium. Its description in RNAcentral is "partial 16S ribosomal RNA". It matches the Rfam family "Bacterial small subunit ribosomal RNA", at positions 28 to 507 of the family's 1533-position model. The record is from RNAcentral.
GACGAACGCUGGCGGCGUGCUUAACACAUGCAAGUCGAACGGAAAGGCCCUGCUUUUGUGUGGUGCUCGAGUGGCGAACGGGUGAGUAACACGUGAGUAACCUGCCCUUGACUUUGGGAUAACUUCAGGAUACUGGUGCUAAUACCUGAUAGGAGCUCCUGCUGCAUGGUGGUGGUUGGAACGUUUCGGCGGUUGGGGAUGGACUCGCGGCUUAUCAGCUUGUUGGUGGGGUAGUGGCUUACCAAGGCUUUGACGGGUAGCCGGCCUGAGAGGGGGACCGGGGACAAGGGGACUGAGAGACGGACCAGACUCUUACGGGAGGCAGCAGGGGGGAAGAUUGCACCACGGGUCCACGCUCGUUGCCUACACGCCGCGUGCGGGAUGACGGCCUUCGGGUUGUAAACCGCUUUCGCCUGUGACGAAGCGUGAGUGACGGUAAUGGGUAAAGAUGCACCGGCUAACUACGUG